This 429-nucleotide ribosomal RNA is filed under the name bacterium. RNAcentral's name for it is "partial 16S ribosomal RNA". It matches the Rfam family "Bacterial small subunit ribosomal RNA", at positions 355 to 776 of the family's 1533-position model. The record is from RNAcentral.
UAGGGAAUCUUCGGCAAUGGGGGCAACCCUGACCGAGCAACGCCGCGUGAGUGAAGAAGGUUUUCGGAUCGUAAAGCUCUGUUGUAAGAGAAGAACGUGUGUGAGAGUGGAAAGUUCACACAGUGACGGUAACUUACCAGAAAGGGACGGCUAACUACGUUCCAGCAGCCGCGGUAAUACGUAGGUCCCGAGCGUUGUCCGGAUUUAUUGGGCGUCAAGCGAGCGCAGGCGGUUUAAUAAGUCUGAAGUUAAAGGCAGUGGCUUAACCAUUGUUCGCUUUGGAAACUGUUAAGCUUGAGUGCAGAAGGGGAGAGUAGAAUUCCAUGUGUAGCGGUGAAAUGCGUAGAUAUAUGGAGGAACACCGGUGGCGAAAGCGGCUCUCUGGUCUGUAACUGACGCUGAGGCUCGAAAGCGUGGGGAGCAAACAGG